Molecule: ribosomal RNA, 440 nt
Filed under: Clostridioides sp. ZZV14-6044
Lineage: Bacteria; Bacillati; Bacillota; Clostridia; Peptostreptococcales; Peptostreptococcaceae
Description: bacterial SSU rRNA
Rfam family: Bacterial small subunit ribosomal RNA
Source: RNAcentral
CCUACGGGUGGCAGCAGUGGGGAAUAUUGCACAAUGGGGGAAACCCUGAUGCAGCGACGCCGCGUGGAGGAAGAAGGUCUUCGGAUUGUAAACUCCUGUUGUUGGGGAAGAUAAUGACGGUACCCAACAAGGAAGUGACGGCUAACUACGUGCCAGCAGCCGCGGUAAAACGUAGGUCACAAGCGUUGUCCGGAAUUACUGGGUGUAAAGGGAGCGCAGGCGGGAAGACAAGUUGGAAGUGAAAUCUAUGGGCUCAACCCAUAAACUGCUUUCAAAACUGUUUUUCUUGAGUAGUGCAGAGGUAGGCGGAAUUCCCGGUGUAGCGGUGGAAUGCGUAGAUAUCGGGAGGAACACCAGUGGCGAAGGCGGCCUACUGGGCACCAACUGACGCUGAGGCUCGAAAGUGUGGGUAGCAAACAGGAUUAGAUACCCUUGUAGUC